RNAcentral lists this ribosomal RNA (1373 nucleotides) under Latilactobacillus sakei. RNAcentral's name for it is "bacterial SSU rRNA". It matches the Rfam family "Bacterial small subunit ribosomal RNA", at positions 84 to 1442 of the family's 1533-position model. Lineage: Bacteria; Bacillati; Bacillota; Bacilli; Lactobacillales; Lactobacillaceae. The record is from RNAcentral.
CAUUUGAGUGAGUGGCGGACGGGUGAGUAACACGUGGGUAACCUGCCCUAAAGUGGGGGAUAACAUUUGGAAACAGAUGCUAAUACCGCAUAAAACCUAACACCGCAUGGUGUAGGGUUGAAAGAUGGUUUCGGCUAUCACUUUAGGAUGGACCCGCGGUGCAUUAGUUAGUUGGUGAGGUAAAGGCUCACCAAGACCGUGAUGCAUAGCCGACCUGAGAGGGUAAUCGGCCACACUGGGACUGAGACACGGCCCAGACUCCUACGGGAGGCAGCAGUAGGGAAUCUUCCACAAUGGACGAAAGUCUGAUGGAGCAACGCCGCGUGAGUGAAGAAGGUUUUCGGAUCGUAAAACUCUGUUGUUGGAGAAGAAUGUAUCUGAUAGUAACUGAUCAGGUAGUGACGGUAUCCAACCAGAAAGCCACGGCUAACUACGUGCCAGCAGCCGCGGUAAUACGUAGGUGGCAAGCGUUGUCCGGAUUUAUUGGGCGUAAAGCGAGCGCAGGCGGUUUCUUAAGUCUGAUGUGAAAGCCUUCGGCUCAACCGAAGAAGUGCAUCGGAAACUGGGAAACUUGAGUGCAGAAGAGGACAGUGGAACUCCAUGUGUAGCGGUGAAAUGCGUAGAUAUAUGGAAGAACACCAGUGGCGAAGGCGGCUGUCUGGUCUGUAACUGACGCUGAGGCUCGAAAGCAUGGGUAGCAAACAGGAUUAGAUACCCUGGUAGUCCAUGCCGUAAACGAUGAGUGCUAGGUGUUGGAGGGUUUCCGCCCUUCAGUGCCGCAGCUAACGCAUUAAGCACUCCGCCUGGGGAGUACGACCGCAAGGUUGAAACUCAAAGGAAUUGACGGGGGCCCGCACAAGCGGUGGAGCAUGUGGGUUUAAUUCGAAGCAACGCGAAGAACCUUACCAGGUCUUGACAUCCUUUGACCACUCUAGAGAUAGAGCUUUCCCUUCGGGGACAAAGUGACAGGUGGUGCAUGGUUGUCGUCAGCUCGUGUCGUGAGAUGUUGGGUUAAGUCCCGCAACGAGCGCAACCCUUAUUACUAGUUGCCAGCAUUUAGUUGGGCACUUCUAGUGAGACUGCCGGUGACAAACCGGAGGAAGGUGGGGACGACGUCAAAUCAUCAUGCCCCUUAUGACCUGGGCUACACACGUGCUACAAUGGAUGGUACAACGAGUUGCGAGACCGCGAGGUUUAGCUAAUCUCUUAAAACCAUUCUCAGUUCGGAUUGUAGGCUGCAACUCGCCUACAUGAAGCCGGAAUCGCUAGUAAUCGCGGAUCAGCAUGCCGCGGUGAAUACGUUCCCGGGCCUUGUACACACCGCCCGUCACACCAUGAGAGUUUGUAACACCCAAAGCCGGUGAGGUAACCCU